UAUAUUCUAAAUAAAUUCUUUAAACAAGUAUCCAUGGACAAGACGUGGAGUUUAGAGCAUGUUUGGUAUAAUUUAAAAUCCAAUUAAAAUUAAUUUUUUGAUAAUUAUUUUACCAUUCUAAUCGUUAUUUUUAAAUUCUUAUCAUAAUCCACAAUCAAAAAAAUCAAUUAAAAAAAGCCUAUUUAACAAUCACCUAUAAGAAUUCCCAGCGCAGAGUUCACACAAACAUCUCAAUGUCUCUUAUUCUCGAUGAUUCUAAUCAAUUUCAGGUAAUAUUUUUUUCCAUUUCAUAGUCAUAUUCUUCUUUUUCUUUUGCUUCUCUUUGAUUUAUGCGCUUUAAUAUGAUUUGGAACUUUUCCUUUUUGGUGUGGAAUCUGUUAUCUUUAAUUCUUUAUCACUUUCAAUUUGGACAAAAAAUGAUACUUUACUGUUUAAAUAGCUAAUUGCGUCAACUAUUCAGAUCUGAAGAAACCCUAGCUUUGUUAUUUGUAGAAUAAUUUCGAGACUGCUAUUUGCAUUCCAAAUCAUGGGAUCUGUUAAAUCAUCUUUGUGGCCUCAAUCAAAUAAGAUUUUUUAGACAGGUUAGUUGCAGGAAUUGCUAGUUUUAUUUAUUUUAGAGAAUUUGGGAUAAAAGUUUUUGUAGUCGCUGUUUAUAUAUAAUAUUGAUGAUUUACGAAUGCGUUCAUACAGAUAAUUCAAAAAUCUGAUGAAAAAAAUAUAAUUUAUCAGCUAUUUUAUUCAAGACCUGAUUACAAUUUGUUUCGAAUAUCUCAUAGUUUCUCCCUAUGAUAUUUCCUGUUGGGAGCUAGAUCUGAUUAGUUUAAGGAUUUGCAAACUGGAUUUGAACAGUAAUUGUUCAUCUAAAACUAUGUUCGUUUUCUCUCUUGCUUACUAUUCAGUAACUUCAAUUUGUCCACAACGUCUUGUACAAUCCAACUAGGUAAAUAUUAAUCUAUAAAUCUUGAUUUUUGUACAAAGUUCUUGGUAAUUGCUUCACUUCAACAGAUGCAGAGUGGCUGGCCUUUGGAGUGGCUGGCUUUUGCGCAGGUGUUUGGUUUGCUAUAGAUGUGGCCAAAUGUGAUUCCCUUCA
Molecule: long non-coding RNA, 1090 nt
Filed under: Olea europaea (common olive)
Lineage: Eukaryota; Viridiplantae; Streptophyta; Magnoliopsida; Lamiales; Oleaceae
Description: long non-coding RNA (OEUR_LNC011720)
Source: RNAcentral